AUGCCAGCAACUGGGACUUCCUGUGGAAUGCAAGGGCAGUGGGGCCUCCGCGAGAGAGAGAGAGAGAGAGAGAGAGAGAAGAGAGAGAUAUUAAGGAUGAAUCCCAGUGUCUGCUCUGAGCAAAUUGGAAGACGAUGGCAUCAGGGGCACUGCUCUGGGCUAUAUAGACUGUGCCUCCACUAAAGGGUCCCUGAGACCAGGUGUGGGCCCGUAUCCCUGGAGGGAGAGAGCAUGCAGUCCAUUUGGAAACAUGCAUGUGGGAAAGUGGGGAGGGACCCUGUCAAGCAUCUAAGAGGAGUGGUGGCAUUUGCUGUGUCCACCUCCAUCCUUCCCACUCACUACUCAGCACCUAUAGCCUUGUCGCUCUCCCCAACACUCUGCUGAGACUGUUGUCACCAAAAACACUAUUGUCCGGCUCCCUGUUGAAAGGACCGACUCUCAGGAGAUGAAGAUCCAAUCACUCUAUCAAAGAAUAUGAGCAUUUCCGAGGCUCUUGUAAGACAUCCAGCCUCCAGAACUGUGAGUACUAUGCUGAAGAGAGCCCUCAUCAGCACCUGACCAACCUGACCAUGCUGCACCCUCAUCUUAGACGUUCAGCCUCCAGAACUGUGAAUACUAUGCUGAAGAGAGCCCUCACCAGCACCUGACCAUGCUGCACCCUCAUCUCAGAUGUCCAGCCUCCAGAACUGUAAUCCAAGAGCCAAAUCAUGAAUGAACUACCAUUCACAACUGCCACAAAAGAAUAAAAUAUGUAGGAAUACAUCUAACAGGGGAAGUGAAGGACCUUUUCGAGAAGAACUACAAACCACUGCUCAGAGAAAUCUGGGAUGACACAAACAAGUGGGAAAGCAUUCCAUGCUCAUGGAUAGGAAGAAUCAAUAUCAUGAAAAUGGCCAUAUUGCCCAAAGCGAUUUAUAGAUUCAAUGCUGUUCCCAUUAAACUACUAUUGAGAUUCUUCAUAGAAUUAGAAAAAACUUUUAAAAUUCAUAUGGGGCUGGGUGCAGCGGCUCACGCUUGUAAUCCCAGCACUUUGGAAGGCCGAGUUGGGAGGAUCACUUGAGUUCAGGGGUUCAAGACCAGCCUGGCCAACAUGGUGAAACCCCCAUCUCCACUGAAAAUACAAAAAUUAGCUGGGCAUGAUGGUUGGCAUCUGUAAUCCCAGCUACUCGGGAGACUGAGACAUGAGAAUCACUUGAACCUGGGAGGUGGAGGUUGCAGUGAGCCAGGAGCACACCACUGCACUCCAGCCUGGGUGACAGAGAGUCAGUCUCAAAAAAAAAAAAAAAAAUCAUAUGGAACUGAAAAAGAGCCUGAAUAGCCAAGACAAUCCUAAGAAAACAAACAAACAAACAAACAAACAAACCAAAGCUGGAGGCCUCUCCAAAUUAUACCACAAGACUACAGUAACUAAAAAAGCAUGGUACUGGUACAAGAACAGACACAGAGACCAAUGGAACAGAAUAGGGAACCCAGAAAUAAAACUGCACACCUACAAUCAUCUGAUCUUCAGCCAAGUCAACAAUAACAAGCAAUGGAAAAAGGAUUCCCUAUUUAAUAAACCAUGCUGGGAGAACUGGCUAGUCAUAUGGAAAAAAUGGAAACUUCUUUACAUUAUGUGCAAAAAUCACCUCAAGAUGGAUUAAAGACUUAAAUGUAAAACCCAAAACUAUAAAAACCCCAGACAAAAAUCUAGGCAAUACCAUUCAGGACAUAGGCAUGGGCAAAGACUUCAUGACAAAGAUGUCAAAAGCAAUAGCAUUUGACCCAACGAUGCCAUUACUGGGUAUAUACCCAAAGGAAUACAAAUCAUUCUAUUAUAAAGAUACAUGCACAUGUAUGUUCACUGCAGCACUAUUCACAAUAGCAAAGACAUGGAAUCAACUUAAAUGCCCGUCAAUAAUAGAUGGGAUAAAGAAAAUGUGGUACAUAUACACCAUGGAAUACUAUGCAGACAUAAAAAGGAAUGAGAUCAUGUCGUUUGCAGGGACAUGGAUGGAGCUAGAAGCCAUUAUCCUCAGAAAACUAACACAGGAACAGAAAACCAAAUACCACAUGUUCUCACUUAUAAGUGGGAGCUGAAUGAUGAGAACACAUGGACACGUGGUGCGGGAACAAUACACCUGGGGCCUGUUGGAGGGUGGGGGCUGGGAGGAGGGAGAGCAUCAAGAAUAGCUAAUGAGGCCAGGCACAGUGGCUCACGCCUGUAAUCCUAGCAUUUUGGGAGGCUGAGGCGGGCAGAUCAUUUGAGGUCAGGAGUUUGAGACCAGCCUGGCCAAUAUGGUGAAACCCCGUCUCUAUUAAAAAUACAAAAAUAUUAGCCAGGCAUGGUGGCAAUGCCCGUAGUCCCUGCAACUUGGGAGGCUGAGGCAGGAGAAUCGUUUGAACCUGGGAGGUGGAGUUUGCAGUGAGCCAAGAUCGCGCCACUGCACUCCAGCCUGGGCGACAGAGUGAGGCUCCAUUAAAAAAAAAAAAAAAAAAAGAAGAGCAAAUGAAUGCUGGGCAUAAUAUCUAGAUGAUGGGAUGAUCUGUGCAGCAAACCACUAUGGCACAUGUUUACCUAUGUAACAAACCUGCACAUCCUCCACAUGUACCCCUGAACUUAAGAGUUGGAAAUCAAAAAGAAAAAAGGUAUUAACUCAAAAUAAAAACAGUGUGUACUAUUUUUCUAAUCAGCAAAUGUUAUUUUAUUUUUUACUAUUAUUUUUAGAGUCGAUAUCUUGCUCUGUCACACAGUCUGGAGUGCAGUGGCAUGAUUAGCUUUGAAUUCCUGUUCAAGUGAUCCUCCCACCUCAGUCUCCAGAGUAGCUAGGGCUACAGGCAGUGCUGCCACACCUGGAUAAUUUUUAAAUUUUUUAUAGAGUUGGGGUCUUGCUAUGUUGCCCAGGCUUGUCUCAGACUCCUGGCCUUAAGUGAUCCUCCUGCCUCUGUCUUCUGAGUCGCUGGAUUACAGGUAUGAGCCACCAUGCUCAGCAGAAAAUUAAAUUUUUUUUUAACAAGUCAUUAGUUCCUGGGAAUUCUAUUUCACUUCCAAAUCCACCUCAUUUUGCAGUGCCCUGUUCUUAGUAGUCCUGGUUUAGGAAGAGUCGUGUUUCACAUGAUCAAGGUAGCCAACACAAUGAAAGUUGAGUUCACAGAGUAUUUAUUUAUUUUGGUCCCUCACAGAGUAUCUAUUUAUUUUUGGUCCCUCACAGAGUAUUUGUUUAUUUUUGUUCCCUCAAAUAAUUCAGCACAAUUAAAUUCAGCAAAUAUUUAUUGAACACUUGGAGAUGAUGAUGGAAAAUUAUGUUCACAUGGUGCCAUUUGGUACAACGGAAAUGGCAUGAGAUUUGGACCAAACCAGAAUUGUCUUAAAUCCUGGCUUUGUUAGUUUUAGGUAUGUCAUCUUGAGCAGUUCACUUCACUUUUUGAGCCACAAUUUCUCUUCCUUACAUAAAGAUAUUUAUAAAUACCCCACAGGUUGUUAUAAUAAAGGUUGAAGAUGCUUGGCACAUAAGCAAAAAUUAUGAAUAAAUAUGUAUUAAAAUAUAAAAUAACUACAAAAUAAAAUAAAAAUAUUGUUUUUCUCACCACAUGUCAGUAUCUUUACACAUAUAAUCUAAUUUUAUCCUUACAGGAUUGCUAGCCUGGUGUG
Molecule: long non-coding RNA, 3631 nt
Filed under: Homo sapiens (human)
Lineage: Eukaryota; Metazoa; Chordata; Mammalia; Primates; Hominidae
Description: HSALNT0291972
Source: RNAcentral